UUGUGGAGGAGGACGCCGAAGGUGGGGCUAAUGACUGGGGUGAAGUCGUAACAAGGUAGCCGUACCGGAAGGUGCGGCUGGAUCACCUCCUAACAGGGAGACAACAAAAUGUUUAAUAUUAUUAUUUUGUCACCUUAGGUCGAUCGGUAUCUCACAUUCUUGUUUUUCAAGGAUUUCAUUUCCUAAGUUUUUCUAGGUCACACCCAUUAUUUCCUGGGCCAUUAGCUCAGGUGGUUAGAGCGCACCCCUGAUAAGGGUGAGGUCCCUGGUUCAAGUCCAGGAUGGCCCAUCAUAUCUCUAUGUUGGGGGUAUAGCUCAGUUGGUAGAGCGCCUGCUUUGCAAGCAGGAUGUCAGCGGUUCGAGUCCGCUUACCUCCACUGAUUACCACCUCUUCCAUAAUUUAUAGAAAGGAAAUUUUUAGUGGUGAUCAACUUCUGAACGAAUCUAGCUUCCUAAUUAAAUUAUUAAGAUGCUGGACUCAUUGAAUUAUUUUCAUUGUUUUCAGAGAACCUUGACAACUGCAUAGAUUAUUUUUAAAGACAAUAAGCAUCUUUAAUGAUGCAGAUUUAUUAUUUGUGCGAAUGCAUUAAAUAACAAUUCUAUUAAGCUGAUGCUUCAAUUUUUGAAGUUAUUGGUCAAGCUACAA
Molecule: unclassified non-coding RNA, 646 nt
Filed under: uncultured Prochlorococcus sp.
Lineage: Bacteria; Bacillati; Cyanobacteriota; Cyanophyceae; Synechococcales; Prochlorococcaceae
Description: partial 16S-23S ribosomal RNA intergenic spacer; may also contain 16S ribosomal RNA and 23S ribosomal RNA
Rfam family: tRNA (bases 305-377)
Source: RNAcentral